Molecule: ribosomal RNA, 440 nt
Filed under: uncultured bacterium
Lineage: Bacteria
Description: partial 16S ribosomal RNA
Rfam family: Bacterial small subunit ribosomal RNA
Source: RNAcentral
CCUACGGGGGGCAGCAGUGGGGAAUAUUGCACAAUGGGGGAAACCCUGAUGCAGCGACGCCGCGUGAGUGAAGAAGUAUUUCGGUACGUAAAGCUCUAUCAGCAGGGAAGAAAAUGACGGUACCUGACUAAGAAGCCCCGGCCAACUACGUGCCAGCAGCCGCGGUAAUACGUAGGGGGCAAGCGUUAUCCGGAUUUACUGGGUGUAAAGGGAGCGUAGACGGCAGCGCAAGUCUGGAGUGAAAUCCCAUGGCUUAACCAUGGAACUGCCUUGGAAACUGUGCAGCUAGAGUGCAGGAGAGGUAAGCGGAAUUCCUGGUGUAGUGGUGAAAUGCGUAGAUAUUAGGAGGAACACCAGUGGCGAAGGCGGCUUACUGGACUGUAACUGACGUUGAGGCUCGAAAGCGUGGGGAGCAAACAGGAUUAGAUACCCGUGUAGUC